GCCUCGUUAGCUCAGUUGGUAGAGCAGAAGACUCUUAAUCUUUUGGUCCUAGGUUCGAGUCCUAGACGGGGUACCA
This 76-nucleotide transfer RNA is filed under the name Haloferula sargassicola. RNAcentral describes it as "tRNA-Lys". It matches the Rfam family "tRNA". From Rfam's summary of the family: Transfer RNA (tRNA) molecules are approximately 80 nucleotides in length. The record is from RNAcentral. Lineage: Bacteria; Pseudomonadati; Verrucomicrobiota; Verrucomicrobiia; Verrucomicrobiales; Verrucomicrobiaceae. RNAcentral also lists the same sequence under 9 other names.